CCUACGGGUGGCUGCAGUGAGGAAUAUUGGUCAAUGGGCUUACGCCUGAACCAGCCAAGUCGCGUGAGGGAAGACUGCCCUAUGGGUUGUAAACCUCUUUUGCCAGGGAGCAACGCCGGCCACGUGUGGCCGGACUGAGAGUACCUGAAGAAAAAGCAUCGGCUAACUCCGUGCCAGCAGCCGCGGUAAUACGGAGGAUGCGAGCGUUAUCCGGAUUUAUUGGGUUUAAAGGGUGCGUAGGCGGACUGCUAAGUCAGCGGUAAAAUCGCGGGGCUCAACCCCGCCGAGCCGUUGGAACUGGCGGUCUUGAGUGGGCGAGAAGUAUGCGGAAUGCGUGGUGUAGCGGUGAAAUGCAUAGAUAUCACGCAGAACGCCGAUUGCGAAGGCAGCAUACCGGCGCCCAACUGACGCUGAAGCACGAAAGCGUGGGGAUCGAACAGGAUUAGAUACCCGAGUAGUC
Molecule: ribosomal RNA, 460 nt
Filed under: uncultured bacterium
Lineage: Bacteria
Description: partial 16S ribosomal RNA
Rfam family: Bacterial small subunit ribosomal RNA
Source: RNAcentral